RNAcentral lists this ribosomal RNA (253 nucleotides) under uncultured bacterium. RNAcentral describes it as "partial 16S ribosomal RNA". It matches the Rfam family "Bacterial small subunit ribosomal RNA", at positions 524 to 776 of the family's 1533-position model. The record is from RNAcentral.
UACAGAGGUCUCAAGCGUUGUUCGGAUUCAUUGGGCGUAAAGGGUGCGUAGGUGGCGUCGUAAGUCAGGUGUGAAAUUUCGGAGCUUAACUCCGAAACUGCAUUUGAUACUGCGGUGCUUGAGGACUGGAGAGGAGACUGGAAUUUACGGUGUAGCAGUGAAAUGCGUAGAUAUCGUAAGGAAGACCAGUGGCGAAGGCGGAUCUCUGGACAGUUACUGACACUGAGGCACGAAGGCCAGGGGAGCAAACGGG